Molecule: non-coding RNA, 294 nt
Organism: Pelobates cultripes (western spadefoot toad)
Lineage: Eukaryota; Metazoa; Chordata; Amphibia; Anura; Pelobatidae
Source: the annotation of a GenBank genome assembly
GUGAGGGGGUGACAGAGUGAGGGAAGGGGAUGACAUGUGACAGAGUGAGGGAGGGGAUGACAUGUGACAGAGUGAGGGAGGGCGUGACUAGUGACAGAAGGAGGGAGGGAGUAGUGACAGAGGGAGGUGGUGACUAGUGACAGAGUGAGGGAGGUGGUGACUAGUGACAGUCACCACUUCCCUCACUCUGUCACUAGUCACCCCUUCCUUCCCUCACUCUGCCACUAGUCACCCCUUCCCUCACUCUGCCACUAGUCACCCCUUCCCUCACUCUGUCACUAGUCACCCCCUCAC